RNAcentral lists this ribosomal RNA (1081 nucleotides) under Bacillus sp. (in: firmicutes). Its description in RNAcentral is "bacterial SSU rRNA". It matches the Rfam family "Bacterial small subunit ribosomal RNA", at positions 36 to 1087 of the family's 1533-position model. The record is from RNAcentral. Lineage: Bacteria; Bacillati; Bacillota; Bacilli; Caryophanales; Bacillaceae.
CAUACCUGCGGGUCUAUACAUGCAAGUCGAGCGAACUGAUUAGAAGCUUGCUUCUAUGACGUUAGCGGCGGACGGGUGAGUAACACGUGGGCAACCUGCCUGUAAGACUGGGAUAACUUCGGGAAACCGAAGCUAAUACCGGAUAGGAUCUUCUCCUUCAUGGGAGAUGAUUGAAAGAUGGUUUCGGCUAUCACUUACAGAUGGGCCCGCGGUGCAUUAGCUAGUUGGUGAGGUAACGGCUCACCAAGGCAACGAUGCAUAGCCGACCUGAGAGGGUGAUCGGCCACACUGGGACUGAGACACGGCCCAGACUCCUACGGGAGGCAGCAGUAGGGAAUCUUCCGCAAUGGACGAAAGUCUGACGGAGCAACGCCGCGUGAGUGAUGAAGGCUUUCGGGUCGUAAAACUCUGUUGUUAGGGAAGAACAAGUACGAGAGUAACUGCUCGUACCUUGACGGUACCUAACCAGAAAGCCACGGCUAACUACGUGCCAGCAGCCGCGGUAAUACGUAGGUGGCAAGCGUUAUCCGGAAUUAUUGGGCGUAAAGCGCGCGCAGGCGGUUUCUUAAGUCUGAUGUGAAAGCCCACGGCUCAACCGUGGAGGGUCAUUGGAAACUGGGGAACUUGAGUGCAGAAGAGAAAAGCGGAAUUCCACGUGUAGCGGUGAAAUGCGUAGAGAUGUGGAGGAACACCAGUGGCGAAGGCGGCUUUUUGGUCUGUAACUGACGCUGAGGCGCGAAAGCGUGGGGAGCAAACAGGAUUAGAUACCCUGGUAGUCCACGCCGUAAACGAUGAGUGCUAAGUGUUAGAGGGUUUCCGCCCUUUAGUGCUGCAGCUAACGCAUUAAGCACUCCGCCUGGGGAGUACGGUCGCAAGACUGAAACUCAAAGGAAUUGACGGGGGCCCGCACAAGCGGUGGAGCAUGUGGUUUAAUCGAAGCAACGCGAAGAACCUUACCAGGUCUUGACAUCCUCUGACAACUUCUAGAGAUAGAGCGGUUCCCUUUCGGGGGACAGAGCUGACAGGUGGCUGCAUGGCUCGUCGUCAGCUCGUUGUCGUGAGGAUUGCUGGGGUUUAGUUC